GGUCUUUAGAUUUUUAUUUAAGAUCAGGCCUGCCCAUUGAUUUGAAAAAUUAAAAGGCUGCGGUAUUUUAACUGUACGAAGGUAGCAUAAUCACUUGUCUUUUAAUUGGAGGCUAGAAUGAAUGGUUUGAUGAGAAAAAAACUUUCUUUUUUUAAUUUAUAUUAAUUUAAUUUUUUAGUUAAAAAGCUUAAAUUUUUUUAUAGGACGAGAAGACCCUAUAGAAGUUGAUUAUAUUAAUAAUUUCUUAUUUUUUGUUAUUAAAAUAUUUUUUUAAAUUGUAUAUUUUUGUUGGGGUGACAUUAAAAUUUAUUUAACUUUUAAUAUUUAUUUCAUUAAUUUAUGUUUUUUUGAUCCAAUAUUUAUUGAUUAAAAGUUUAACUUACCUUAGGGAUAACAGCGUAAUUUUUUCGGAGAGUUCAUAUCGAUGAAUAAAGUUUGCGA
Molecule: ribosomal RNA, 441 nt
Filed under: Limnogonus franciscanus
Lineage: Eukaryota; Metazoa; Arthropoda; Insecta; Hemiptera; Gerridae
Description: partial 16S large subunit ribosomal RNA
Source: RNAcentral